GCCCAGGUGACUUAGUGGUAAAGUAUCUGCCUACCAAGCAGGAGAUGCAGGUUUGAUCCCUGAGUUGGGAA
RNAcentral lists this transfer RNA (71 nucleotides) under Bos indicus x Bos taurus (hybrid cattle). It matches the Rfam family "tRNA". From Rfam's summary of the family: Transfer RNA (tRNA) molecules are approximately 80 nucleotides in length. Lineage: Eukaryota; Metazoa; Chordata; Mammalia; Artiodactyla; Bovidae. The record is from Rfam by way of RNAcentral.